RNAcentral lists this ribosomal RNA (471 nucleotides) under uncultured organism. RNAcentral describes it as "partial 16S ribosomal RNA". It matches the Rfam family "Bacterial small subunit ribosomal RNA", at positions 334 to 797 of the family's 1533-position model. The record is from RNAcentral.
CACUCCUGCGGGAGGCAGCAGUGGGGAAUUUUGGACAAUGGGCGAAAGCCUGAUCCAGCCAUGCCGCGUGCAGGAUGAAGGCCUUCGGGUUGUAAACUGCUUUUGUACGGAACGAAACGGCCUUUUCUAAUAAAGAGGGCUAAUGACGGUACCGUAAGAAUAAGCACCGGCUAACUACGUGCCAGCAGCCGCGGUAAUACGUAGGGUGCAAGCGUUAAUCGGAAUUACUGGGCGUAAAGCGUGCGCAGGCGGUUAUGUAAGACAGUUGUGAAAUCCCCGGGCUCAACCUGGGAACUGCAUCUGUGACUGCAUAGCUAGAGUACGGUAGAGGGGGAUGGAAUUCCGCGUGUAGCAGUGAAAUGCGUAGAUAUGCGGAGGAACACCGAUGGCGAAGGCAAUCCCCUGGACCUGUACUGACGCUCAUGCACGAAAGCGUGGGGAGCAAACAGGAUUAGAAACCCUUGUAGUCCC